GUCUUUGCCAUGGACAAAAUGAUCAAAACCAGCUGCUCCGUGGAGUUCUUCAUUGAAAGGAAGAGAGAGGUGGAGUUGGCAGUGAAGCGGGAUCUGCAGACACACUUCAGCAUCAAGCUGACUUAUCACUCCUCUGGAAACGGUUAACAUGCCUGGUCCAGCCACCCGUCAUGUGGAUGUGAUGUGCCUCUCAGCAGUUCUGAAGAUGACAGAAUUCACUUGCAGAUCUAAAAGAGACAAACAGAAGCUGGAAAUUGUACAUAGAGUUGAUAGGAAAACCACCUGAUUACAAAUCACUUAUCGGAAAUGCUAUGUGGAGAAGAAUUAGAAGACAUGGUCACUGAGCAGGAAGAGACAUGACUCUGCCAAGGUAUUAUUGGAAAGGUUGGAGGUGAU
RNAcentral lists this long non-coding RNA (396 nucleotides) under Homo sapiens (human). RNAcentral's name for it is "long non-coding RNA NONHSAT186240.1". The record is from RNAcentral. Lineage: Eukaryota; Metazoa; Chordata; Mammalia; Primates; Hominidae.